RNAcentral lists this ribosomal RNA (829 nucleotides) under Coptotermes sp. Ma79Cp. Its description in RNAcentral is "partial 16S ribosomal RNA". The stretch from base 437 to 606 matches the Rfam family "Bacterial large subunit ribosomal RNA", at positions 1784 to 2014 of the family's 2925-position model. The record is from RNAcentral. Lineage: Eukaryota; Metazoa; Arthropoda; Insecta; Blattodea; Rhinotermitidae.
UGUUUCCCGAUUUUAGAGGAGUUAGUGGUUUAUUUUAGUUGCUGUUUCAUUAGCAUUAAAAAUAGGCUGUUGGUAGUGAGAUGUUAUUCGUUUUUAGUGGUUUCUGGUUUUUCAAGAAAUGAAUUUAAUUCAUGCGUCUUGUUUAGAUUUUUGUUGUUAUUGUUUAUUCGUCUUUAUUGGAUGUUAAGAUUAAGGGGGAUUAGCUCCUUGUUUUAUUUUUAUAAUUUUUGUGUUAUAUUUAGUUUUGUGGAUUUUAUAGUGAUUUUCAAUUUGAUUAUGUUAAAAUUUUAUUGUAUUUCUUUUGUUAUUUUGGUUUAUUUAAUUGUUUAUUGAAAUGUUUUCUUUAUUUUUUAUUGGAUUGUAAUUAUUGUGGGAUUAGUAAAUUUGUUUGUUGUUUUGUUUGUAUUUGUGUUUAAUUUCUUUUGAGGAAUUAGGCAAAGAUUUGUGUCCGCCUGUUUAACAAAAACAUCUUUUCUUGUUAGUUUUUGAAGUAUGGCCUGCCCGCUGACAUUGAGUUGAAGGGCCGCGGUAUUUUGACCGUGCAAAGGUAGCAUAAUCAUUAGUUCUUUAAUUGUGAUCUGGAAUGAAUGGCUUGACGAGGCACGAGCUGUCUUAGUGUUGAAUAUUUUAUUGAAUUUGGUCUUUGAGUUAAAAUUCUUAAAUGUUUUUGUGGGACGAGAAGACCCUAUAGAGUUUGACAUUUGGCUUAUUUAUUUGUUGGUUGUUUGUUUGUUUUGUUGGUGAAUGGGCUUUUUGUUUUGUUGGGGUGAUGAGAGGAAUGUAUUUAACUCUUCUUUGUUUUGGUUAUAUUUAUUUAUAGUUGUUUGAU